Molecule: ribosomal RNA, 289 nt
Filed under: uncultured bacterium
Lineage: Bacteria
Description: partial 16S ribosomal RNA
Rfam family: Bacterial small subunit ribosomal RNA
Source: RNAcentral
AUAGCCCUACGGGACGCAGCAGUGAGGAAUAUUGGUCAAUGGCCGGAAGGCUGAACAAGCCAAGUCGCGUGAGGGACGACUGCCCUAUGGGAUGUAAACCUCUUUUAUAAGGGAAGAAUAAAUGCUACGUGUAGCAUGAUGCCUGUACCUUAUGAAUAAGCAUCGGCUAACUCCGUGCCAGCAGCCGCGGUAAUACGGAGGAUGCGAGCGUUAUCCGGAUUUAUUGGGUUUAAAGGGUGCGUAGGCGGUAUUUUAAGUUUGUGGUUAAACGUCGGUGCUUCACCUUGAU